RNAcentral lists this ribosomal RNA (626 nucleotides) under uncultured fungus. RNAcentral's name for it is "eukaryotic LSU rRNA". It matches the Rfam family "Eukaryotic large subunit ribosomal RNA", at positions 24 to 664 of the family's 3401-position model. The record is from RNAcentral. Lineage: Eukaryota; Fungi.
CCCGCUGAACUUAAGCAUAUCAAUAAGCGGAGGAAAAGAAACCAACAGGGAUUACCCUAGUAACGGCGAGUGAAGCGGUAACAGCUCAAAUUUGAAAUCUAGCCCUCACGGGUUCGAGUUGUAAUUUGUAGAGGAUGUUUCGGAUAAGGCUUUGGUUUAAGUUUCUUGGAACAGAACGUCAUAGAGGGUGAGAGUCCCGUCUAGAACCGAUAGCCGCAUUCAUGUGAAACUCCUUCGACGAGUCGAGUUGUUUGGGAAUGCAGCUCAAAAUGGGUGGUAAAUUUCAUCUAAAGCUAAAUAUUGGCCAGAGACCGAUAGCGCACAAGUAGAGUGAUCGAAAGAUGAAAAGCACUUUGAAAAGAGAGUUAAACAGUAUGUGAAAUUGUUGAAAGGGAAGCGCUUGCAACCAGACUUGUGUUUAAUGGUUCCCUCGAUCUUUUGAUCGGGCUAUUCCAUUAUAUCCAGGCCAACAUCAGUUCGGGUGGUCGGUUAAAGACUUUUAGGAAUGUAUCUACCUUCGGGUCGACUUAUAGCCUAAUGUGUAAUGCGACCUACCUGGACUGAGGAACGCGCUUUUUGCUCGGAUGUUGGCGUAAUGGUUGUAAGCGGCCCGUCUUGAAACACGG